GCGUCAGAGCGCAGCGUCACGUGACGGCGUCACCGGGCAGCGCCGCCGCCGCUGCUCUGGGUCCCGGUCCGGCCAAUCCCCGCCGGUGCCGCCGCUGCUCUGGAUCCCGGUCCGGCCAAUCCCCGCUAGUGCCGCUGCUCUGUGCCCCUCUGCCGGCCCGGCUCGGCGGCAGAUACGCGGCCGCCGUUGUUGGGCACAAGCGCCCCGUGUCGCCGGUCCCUCUGUGCCCUCCGGGGGCUGCGGCUCAGCCACCGGCACGGCGGGCGCACACGGGGGCGGGAUGCACCGGGACAGGAGGAGCCGAGCAGGGAGGUGGCCGUGCCCAGGGCCCGGAGGUGGCAGCGGGGGCUGUGACGUGGGAGGUCCCGCAGGGCUGCGGCUCUGGGCUCUUCUGGUGCUGCAUCGCUGAUGGUGACUGAAAGCACAGAACCAUCAAGAACUCCGCGCAGCAGGACCGAAGUGGCACUGAAGUGCGACCACAGCCCCAUCUCCGGCAGCUGUUGGUCUCCAGAAGCAGCUGGAGGCCAGUGGGCAAGGCUGGAGAUCAGCAUUUCCCAGGCUCCGGUUAUCCCGGGUGUUCACGCGCCAGAGCUGACAAACAGCCAAAUAAAGAAAGCCAAGAGACUGAAGAUCUUGCUGGUAUCACUGUGUUUCAUAUUGGGUUUUUCUUCCCAUCCCUGACUACGGAUAUUCUCAGCUGGCAGUAAUUGGGGUGUGCAUUAAUUCGUGCUCCCAAAAGCAGGAACACCAGGAGCAUCUUUGCUGGAUCAUGCAGUGAAUAACAACCACCAGCAAAGCGUUGAUACUGAAACUGCCGACUUGACACAGGGCAAACCACUGUGACUAAAGGCUCUAAAACGUAAAGUAAACUUUAUUAUCCUUGAA
Long non-coding RNA from Lonchura striata (white-rumped munia), 885 nucleotides. RefSeq lists it as uncharacterized. The record is from RefSeq and is a predicted model, not a curated record. Lineage: Eukaryota; Metazoa; Chordata; Aves; Passeriformes; Estrildidae.